RNAcentral lists this unclassified non-coding RNA (378 nucleotides) under soil metagenome. RNAcentral describes it as "partial contains 5.8S ribosomal RNA, internal transcribed spacer 2, and large subunit ribosomal RNA". The stretch from base 1 to 120 matches the Rfam family "5.8S ribosomal RNA", at positions 35 to 154 of the family's 154-position model. The record is from RNAcentral.
GAUGAAGAACGCAGCGAAGUGCGAUAAGUAAUGUGAAUUGCAGAAUUCCGUGAAUCAUCGAAUCUUUGAACGCAUAUUGCACCUUCUGGUAUUCCGGAAGGUAUGCCUGUUUGAGGGUCAGUUAAAUAAAAAUCGGUGUUGUUGCUGCCUUUCGUGGUGACGCGUCGGAGUUGGGUCGUCUUAACCUUCGGCUAAGUGACUUAAAAUUUUGCAUGAUUUUUCGAACGUAUUUAAAUUGUUUUACGUACGUUUGGGAUAUCUGAAUGUUUUUAUUAGGUUCGGUCAUCCUCAUGAUUCGCGCCUAUAAAUCUUUUCAUUAAAUGACCUCAAAUCAGGUAAGAAUACCCGCUGAACUUAAGCAUAUCAAUAAGCGGAGGA